Molecule: long non-coding RNA, 430 nt
Organism: Ruditapes philippinarum (Manila clam)
Lineage: Eukaryota; Metazoa; Mollusca; Bivalvia; Venerida; Veneridae
Exons: 3
Source: RefSeq, a predicted model, not a curated record
ACGUACAAUUUAUCUGUAUUUAUUUAGAAGAUAAUGGUUCACAUAAAUUAAAUAAACCAGGGCUUGAUGCAUUAAUGAUACGUGUAAAAAUACUUCCCUAGGUGGACAUUUUAUAAACAAGUGUUUAAUAAUUUGGAUUUAUUGCUAAAAGCUCAGCAAAGAAAUUAUGAAGACACAGUAUUGUUUAACACUUCUAACGCUGCUAGUUACGGAAAACAUGGCUGCCUUAGUAAAUGUAGCUCUUGGAAAGAAAACCGAACAGCUUGGAGGGCAAUUAACAUGGCCAUCUUCAAAUGCAGUUGAUGGAGUAAAAGAAUGCCAUAAUAUCAACAGCAAAUAUCUCACAUUAUCAGGAUACAGUGAUUUACCGUGGUGGAAGCUUGACCUUGGGGGAUUAUUUCAGAUUCAUCAAGUAAAUGUAUUUGGAAGG